GACGAACGCUGGCGGCGUGCCUAAUACAUGCAAGUAGAACGCUGAAGAGAGGAGCUUGCUCUUCUUGAAUGAGUUGCGAACGGGUGAGUAACGCGUAGGUAACCUGCCUUGUAGCGGGGGAUAACUAUUGGAAACGAUAGCUAAUACCGCAUAACAAUGGGUGACACAUGUCAUUUAUUUAAAAGGGGCAAUUGCUCCACUACAAGAUGGACCCUGCGUUGUAUUAGCUAGUAGGUGAGGUAACGGCUCACCCUAGGCGACGAUACAUAGCCGACCUGAGAGGGUGAUCGGCCACACUGGGACUGAGACACGGCCCAGACUCCUACGGGAGGCAGCAGUAGGGAAUCUUCGGCAAUGGGGGCAACCCUGACCGAGCAACGCCGCGUGAGUGAAGAAGGUUUUCGGAUCGUAAAGCUCUGUUGUAAGUCAAGAACGAGUGUGAGAGUGGAAAGUUCACACUGUGACGGUAGCUUACCAGAAAGGGACGGCUAACUACGUGCCAGCAGCCGCGGUAAUACGUAGGUCCCGAGCGUUGUCCGGAUUUAUUGGGCGUAAAGCGAGCGCAGGCGGUUUGAUAAGUCUGAAGUUAAAGGCUGUGGCUCAACCAUAGUUCGCUUUGGAAACUGUCAAACUUGAGUGCAGAAGGGGAGAGUGGAAUUCCAUGUGUAGCGGUGAAAUGCGUAGAUAUAUGGAGGAACACCGGUGGCGAAAGCGGCUCUCUGGUCUGUAACUGACGCUGAGGCUCGAAAGCGUGGGGAGCGAACAGG
This 767-nucleotide ribosomal RNA is filed under the name uncultured Streptococcus sp. RNAcentral's name for it is "bacterial SSU rRNA". It matches the Rfam family "Bacterial small subunit ribosomal RNA", at positions 28 to 776 of the family's 1533-position model. Lineage: Bacteria; Bacillati; Bacillota; Bacilli; Lactobacillales; Streptococcaceae. The record is from RNAcentral.